AUGUCCUUUGAGUGCUUUACCUCUUCGAGGAAUACCAGACCUUGUCUUCCAUGUUUUUUAACCAGAGAGGUGUGUGAAGCUAUCAGCCUCAACUAUGCAGCCUUUGGAAGUGGAAGUGACCAAAGUACUCAAUGGCACAGUGGCUAGCAUCUAAAAUGGGCUCUCAGCUUCUCAGGGAGAAGGGGCUGGCAAGGUCAGCAGUAGUCUAGUGUUUUGGACCUGAUCCCCACCUGCACCCCAGGCUUCCCCGCAGUCUCAAAGAGGAACCCUGUGGAGGAGAGGUGGAAAUUAGGGACCAGGAGACUGAAAGAGAAAUCACUAACCUCCUCCCUUUGUUCUGCAGUAUGAGCUGGGGCAUCAGAGGGAAACAAAGCCCUUAGAGAAGGAAACCUCCACUUCAUUUGCGUCUCCACAGACCCCUGCCAGAAAACCAAGACAGGAUUAAACUGCUCUGGGAUACCCGAGGGAUGGCUUCUGUAGAAACUUCUAGAAAUUCCUGCCAGUCAGACAGACUUGGUUUUCAGCAUUACCAGAGUACUGGAAGGGGGUGCUUGCCCCAAUUCCAUAUCCAAACCAAGGCGGUUGUAACUGGCAUCUUCAAUUGCGCUCUCCAUAAUUUGACAGAAUCAGGAAUCAAGGUACCAUUAGGUCCCAGAAAGAACAACAAACUUCACUAAGAAAAAACAAAUACAGCAUUGAGCACGGAUGGACGCAUACGAACUCCCUGAAAUACCAUCUCCAGUCUCACUUCCUGGGGACCCGGGGUGGGGAGUGGAAGGGGGAGGGAUGGUGUAAAAAAAUCUUAGCCGAUUUGAAAAGAUAACGAUUACAUUGUCUGAGUUUAAAGUUCUCAACUCCAAUCAUAGUAAUAAAGUUAUAAUUGGUUACAUUGCUCCAUGUAACUGGUGUUUUAUUAGUGACCCAACUUAGUUUUGUGGCAAAAUACAGGUGGUUCAGAACCCAUAAAGGGAAGCUACUCCCUCUCAGGCAACC
This is a long non-coding RNA of Rattus rattus (black rat), 993 nucleotides long. RefSeq lists it as uncharacterized. The transcript is spliced from 3 exons. Lineage: Eukaryota; Metazoa; Chordata; Mammalia; Rodentia; Muridae. The record is from RefSeq and is a predicted model, not a curated record.